GACGUAGGGUGUGAGCGUUGUCCGGAUUUAUUGGGCGUAAAGAGCUCGUAGGCGGCUCGUCGCGUCGACCGUGAAAACCCGCAGCUUAACUGCGGGCUUGCGGUUGAUACGGGCGGGCUAGAGUUCGGUAGGGGAGACUGGAAUUCCUGGUGUAGCGGUGAAAUGCGCAGAUAUCAGGAGGAACACCGGUGGCGAAGGCGGGUCUCUGGGCCGAUACUGACGCUGAGGAGCGAAAGCGUGGGGAGCGAACAGG
RNAcentral lists this ribosomal RNA (253 nucleotides) under uncultured bacterium. Its description in RNAcentral is "partial 16S ribosomal RNA". It matches the Rfam family "Bacterial small subunit ribosomal RNA", at positions 524 to 776 of the family's 1533-position model. The record is from RNAcentral.